Rhododendron vialii is the source of this 751-nucleotide long non-coding RNA. RefSeq lists it as uncharacterized. The transcript has 2 exons. The record is from RefSeq and is a predicted model, not a curated record. NCBI's taxonomy places the organism in Eukaryota, Viridiplantae, Streptophyta, Magnoliopsida, Ericales, Ericaceae.
AUAACAUCUCUCUCUCUCUCUCUCUCUCUCUCUCUCUCUCUCUCUCAAGUGGAGUAUUUUUUCUCUUUUUCAGGCUGUUAGCCAGAUUUGUAGAGAUAUGGGUAUCUGCGUAUCGCUUUCCUUUUUAUGCCUGACUCUCAUGAAGACAGCGACCCAUCCUCUUCCCCCCCCUCUCUCUCAUGGAGACAGCGACCCAUCCUCCGUCUGUUCACUUCCCACUCCUCCAUGAUUUCUGCUACCCUCUCUCUCUCUCUUGCUUUUCUUUUUUGCUUUUCUUAUCUCUCUGAUCACUUUUCUUUUCGGUUCCUUAUAUUCCGAGCGUUAAUUGAAAUCCUAUUUCCCCCCUACUUUUGUUCCUCUCUUCUUUUUUUUUGGAGUAAUAAUUCCACAUAGUACUGCCGGUGAUUCCCUUGUGAUCAAAUAUGGUUCUUGAAGAUGUGCAGAGGCCUCCAUGGAACUAUUGGGUUUCCAUUAAUAGAAUCAUCAUACUCACUAUAGAAUGGAGAAGCUUGUGGAUUACUGCAAAUGCGUGAAUGAUGCGGGAGACGAAUUUCAUCCUUUCUUCUCCGUGCUUGGACUGAAGGGAGCUCCCUUUUAUUGUUUCCUCGAUCUAGCCAAUUAAUAAUUGUAUUCGAUCCUAAAUUUUUCAGUACUUAAUACAUUUGAAGUUAGUGCCUUUGCUGGAUUUUUUCUUCUUUGGAAUAAUUGGUCAUUAUAAAUCUGAUUUAGCCCUAAGAGCUCUUUUAGCUUA